This 460-nucleotide ribosomal RNA is filed under the name uncultured bacterium. RNAcentral describes it as "partial 16S ribosomal RNA". It matches the Rfam family "Bacterial small subunit ribosomal RNA", at positions 338 to 795 of the family's 1533-position model. The record is from RNAcentral.
CCUACGGGAGGCAGCAGUGAGGAAUAUUGGUCAAUGGACGAGAGUCUGAACCAGCCAAGUAGCGUGAAGGAUGACUGCCCUAUGGGUUGUAAACUUCUUUUAUAUGGGAAUAAAAUGUUCCACGUGUGGGAUUUUGUAUGUACCCUAUGAAUAAGGAUCGGCUAACUCCGUGCCAGCAGCCGCGGUAAUACGGAGGAUCCGAGCGUUAUCCGGAUUUAUUGGGUUUAAAGGGAGCGUAGGUGGAUUGUUAAGUCAGUUGUGAAAGUUUGCGGCUCAACCGUAGAAUUGCUGUUGAAACUGGCAGUCUGGAGUGCAGUAGAGGUGGGCGGAAUGCGUGGUGUAGCGGUGAAAUGCUUAGAUAUCACGAAGAACUCCGAUUGCGAAGGCAGCUCACUGGACUGCAACUGACACUGAGGCUCGAAAGUGUGGGUAUCAAACAGGAUUAGAUACCCGAGUAGUC